Long non-coding RNA from Cryptotermes secundus, 392 nucleotides. RefSeq lists it as uncharacterized. The transcript is spliced from 3 exons. NCBI's taxonomy places the organism in Eukaryota, Metazoa, Arthropoda, Insecta, Blattodea, Kalotermitidae. The record is from RefSeq and is a predicted model, not a curated record.
AUCAGUCUUACUAAGAGGAGGAUUCCGACCACUGAAGAGAACAUUUCCAUUAUGGCCAACAGCACGGUACAGGAUCAGACCACAGAACAUCAGCUGCUGAAGGAUGAUCCUGUGCCAUACAGAACCUGCCAGAACAGCUCUGUGGUUCCAGCACUGAAAUGUCCAAGCUGGCAUGACACCAGUACCCAUCAGAUUCUACCCACUGUUCCAUCAGCAGUACAUAUGAGGACAGCCAAGAGCAUAUUCCAUAGUCCAUGCCAAGGCUACAUAAGAAGCUGAUUGUGCAUUGUGAGUUAGUAGCCUGUGUGGAGCAUGUGAUCUUCAUGGGUUCAUUAUUCUGAGAAGAACUAAGAUUUACAACCGAUGAUGGUGUAGAAUCUGAACUUUCCCCA